GACAGAGGAUGCAAGCGUUAUCCGGAAUUACUGGGCGUAAAGAGUUGCGUAGGUGGCAUAGUAAGCGAAUAGUGAAAUCGUACGGCUCAACCGUAUACCCAUUAUUUGAACUGCUAAGCUAGAGUAUGAGAGAGGUAGAUGGAAUUCCCAGUGUAGGAGUGAAAUCCGUAGAUAUUGGGAGGAACACCGAUGGCGUAGGCAGUCUACUGGCUCAUUACUGACACUAAGGCACGAAAGCGUGGGGAGCAAACGGG
Molecule: ribosomal RNA, 254 nt
Filed under: uncultured bacterium
Lineage: Bacteria
Description: partial 16S ribosomal RNA
Rfam family: Bacterial small subunit ribosomal RNA
Source: RNAcentral